This 253-nucleotide ribosomal RNA is filed under the name uncultured bacterium. RNAcentral describes it as "partial 16S ribosomal RNA". It matches the Rfam family "Bacterial small subunit ribosomal RNA", at positions 524 to 776 of the family's 1533-position model. The record is from RNAcentral.
UACGUAGGGUCCGAGCGUUGUCCGGAAUUACUGGGCGUAAAGAGCUCGUAGGUGGUUUGUCGCGUUGUUCGUGAAAACUCACAGCUCAACUGUGGGCGUGCGGGCGAUACGGGCAGACUUGAGUACUGCAGGGGAGACUGGAAUUCCUGGUGUAGCGGUGGAAUGCGCAGAUAUCAGGAGGAACACCCGUGGCGAAAGCGGCUCUCUGGAACGGUACUGACGCUGAGACGCGAAAGCGUGGGGAGCGAACAGG